GGGGUCAUAGCUCAGUUGGUAGAGCGCUUGCUUAGCGAGCUAUCGGGAAUCAAAUCCCGGUACAGAUACUUGCAUGAGGUCUUGGGUUCAAUUCCCAAUGGCUCCA
This is a non-coding RNA of Orbilia ellipsospora, 106 nucleotides long. The record is from the annotation of a GenBank genome assembly. NCBI's taxonomy places the organism in Eukaryota, Fungi, Ascomycota, Orbiliomycetes, Orbiliales, Orbiliaceae.